Molecule: long non-coding RNA, 310 nt
Organism: Oreochromis niloticus (Nile tilapia)
Lineage: Eukaryota; Metazoa; Chordata; Actinopteri; Cichliformes; Cichlidae
Exons: 2
Source: RefSeq, a predicted model, not a curated record
CACAACGACUGAGAUUGUCCGAGCCGGGGCUCGAACCGGCAACCUUCCGGUUACAAGACGAACUGCCAACUGCUGAGAUGCUGCGAAGGGCGAACUGAACCUCCAGCCUCUCGGGGAUCCGGCAGCUUAUGCGCCACAGCAGAUGCAGCUGCAGCAGGAGGCAGAGGGCCAGCAGCUGCUGGAGCGUCGUCAUCCUCGGCUCGUAACAUGUUCGAGUCAGGGGUCACCAAUGUGGAGAUUUUUCCGGGCUUCUUGAAGGGCUUUCCAGAAAUCUUCUAGGGUUGUUGGCUGCUGCUGUUCUCUGUAAAGA